RNAcentral lists this ribosomal RNA (492 nucleotides) under uncultured bacterium. RNAcentral's name for it is "partial 16S ribosomal RNA". It matches the Rfam family "Bacterial small subunit ribosomal RNA", at positions 29 to 507 of the family's 1533-position model. The record is from RNAcentral.
AGUGAACGCUGGCGGUAGGCCUAACACAUGCAAGUCGAACGGCAGCACAGUAAGAGCUUGCUCUUACGGGUGGCGAGUGGCGGACGGGUGAGGAAUACAUCGGAAUCUACUUUUUCGUGGGGGAUAACGAAGGGAAACUUACGCUAAUACCGCAUACGACCUACGGGUGAAAGCAGGGGAUCUUCGGACCUUGCGCGAUUGAAUGAGCCGAUGUCGGAUUAGCUAGUUGGCGGGGUAAAGGCCCACCAAGGCGACGAUCCGUAGCUGGUCUGAGAGGAUGAUCAGCCACACUGGAACUGAGACACGGUCCAGACUCCUACGGGAGGCAGCAGUGGGGAAUAUUGGGCAAUGGGCGCAAGCCUGAUCCAGCCAUACCGCGUGGGUGAAGAAGGCCUUCGGGUUGUAAAGCCCUUUUGUUGGGAAAGAAAAGCAGCAGGUUAAUACCCCGCUGUUCUGACGGUACCCAAAGAAUAAGCACCGGCUAACUUCGUG